UACGGAGGGUGCGAGCGUUGUCCGGAAUCACUGGGCGUAAAGGGCGCGUAGGCGGGGAGGUAAGUCGGGUGUGAAAUCCCUCGGCCCAACCGAGGAACUGCGCCCGAGACUGCUUCUCUUGAGUCCCGGAGAGGAAGAUGGAAUUCCCGGUGUAGCGGUGAAAUGUGUAGAGAUCGGGAGGAACACCGGUGGCGAAGGCGGUCUUCUGGACGGUGACUGACGCUGAGGCGCGAAAGCGUGGGGAGCAAACGGG
This 253-nucleotide ribosomal RNA is filed under the name uncultured bacterium. Its description in RNAcentral is "partial 16S ribosomal RNA". It matches the Rfam family "Bacterial small subunit ribosomal RNA", at positions 524 to 776 of the family's 1533-position model. The record is from RNAcentral.